GACGAACGCUGGCGGCGUGCUUAACACAUGCAAGUCGAACGGAAAGGCCCUGCUUUUGUGGGGUGCUCGAGUGGCGAACGGGUGAGUAACACGUGAGUAACCUGCCCUUGACUUUGGGAUAACUUCAGGAAACUGGGGCUAAUACCGGAUAGGAGCUCCUGCUGCAUGGUGGGGGUUGGAAAGUUUCGGCGGUUGGGGAUGGACUCGCGGCUUAUCAGCUUGUUGGUGGGGUAGUGGCUUACCAAGGCUUUGACGGGUAGCCGGCCUGAGAGGGUGACCGGGCACAAUGGGACUGAGAUAAGGCCCAGACUCCAACGGGAGGCAGCAGUGGGGAAUAUUGCACAAUGGGCGGAAGCCUGAUGCAGCAACGCCGCGUGCGGGAUGACGGCCUUCGGGUUGUAAACCGCUUUCGCCUGUGACGAAGCGUGAGUGACGGUAAUGGGUAAAGAAGCACCGGCUAACUACGUG
This 468-nucleotide ribosomal RNA is filed under the name uncultured bacterium. Its description in RNAcentral is "partial 16S ribosomal RNA". It matches the Rfam family "Bacterial small subunit ribosomal RNA", at positions 28 to 507 of the family's 1533-position model. The record is from RNAcentral.